This 1218-nucleotide unclassified non-coding RNA is filed under the name Hevea brasiliensis (rubber tree). Lineage: Eukaryota; Viridiplantae; Streptophyta; Magnoliopsida; Malpighiales; Euphorbiaceae. The record is from RNAcentral.
GUAGAAGUCGAUAUACCCUUUUGCAGAGAAAAAAAAAAACUCUCAAGAUACCAAGCAAAGCUCUCUCAUGUGGCUUGGAUAUUUUGUAGUCUGUUUGUCCUUUCUCCACCCCUGCAGAAACUAGGCCAGGUCCAUUCUCAAUUGCUCAUCCUCUUGUUCUCAUUUCAUGGAGACUUGGUUCAUCAUCCUCAUCUCCAUCUCUAUUUCUGCCUUCAUCAAAGCUCUCAUCAGCAUUUUCUUUCCUUCCAAGAACCCUUCCCUCAAUCUCAACCUCCCUCCAGGCCCCCUUAAAUUUCCUAUCAUCGGCAACACUGUAUGGCUCCGCAAAUCCUUAUCCGAAUUCGAACCCAUCAUCCGUUCCCUCCACUCCAAGUUUGGCCCUGUUGUUACCCUCCACAUCGGCCGUCGCCCCUCCAUCUUUGUCGCCGACCGCUACCUUGCCCACCAUGCCUUGAUCCAGAACGGUGCGCUUUUUGCUGACCGCCCUCCGGCUCUUGCUACUGGUAAAAUCACCAGUAGCAAUCAGCAUAAUAUCAACAUGGCCUUUUACGGCCCCACUUGGCGUCUCCUCCGGCGGAACCUCACUUCAGAAAUCCUUCAUCCUUCGCGGGUGAAGUCCUAUGCUGACGCUCGAAAAUGGGUGCUGCAAAUCCUUCUUGAUCGCUUUGAAUCGCUGUUGAAAUCUGGACAUCCUGUUUGCACUGUGGAUAGUCUUCAAUACGCCAUGUAUUGCCUGCUAGUCCUCAUGUGUUUCGGCGACAAGCUUGAUCAGAAACAAAUUGAAGAAAUCGAGAGAGUUGAGCGUGCCAUGCUUUUGAACGGGGCCAGAUUCAGAUUACUCAAUUUCUGGCCAAGAUUGUCCCAAAUCGUGUUUCGCAAACGGUGGUCACAGCUGUUUCAGCUUAGGAAGAACCAAGAAGAAGUAUUAAUCCCUUUAAUAAGAGCAAGAAAGAAGUUGAAAGAAGAGAGAUUGAGCAAGUCCAAGAAUGAAAAUGAUGACUAUGUCUUAUCGUACGUUGACACACUGUUCGAUCUUCAACUUCCCGAUGAGAAAAGGAAGCUCAGCGAUGAUGAAAUCGUUACUUUGUGCAAUGAAUUUCUUAACGCAGGCACAGACACUACCUCCACUGCGAUGCAAUGGAUUAUGGCGAAUUUGGUUAAGUACCCAAAUAUUCAAGAGAAGCUUUUUAUGGACAUUAAAGGGGUUGUUGGAGAUGC